AUUGAACGCUGGCGGCAGGCCUAACACAUGCAAGUCGAGCGGAUGAAGAGAGCUUGCUCUCUGAUUUAGCGGCGGACGGGUGAGUAAUGCCUAGGAAUCUGCCUGGUAGUGGGGGAUAACGUUCCGAAAGGAACGCUAAUACCGCGUACGUCCUACGGGAGAAAGCAGGGGACCUUCGGGCCGUGCGCUAUCAGAUGCGCCUAGGUCGGAUUAGCUGGUUGGUGAGGUAAUGGCGCACCAAGGAGAGGAUCCGUACCGGGUCUGAGAGGAUGAUCAGUCACACUGGAACUGAGAAACGGUCCAGACUCCUACGGGAGGCAGCAGUGGGGAAUAUUGGACAAUGGGCGAAAGCCUGAUCCAGCCAUGCCGCGUGUGUGAAGAAGGUCUUCGGAUUGUAAAGCACUUUAAGUUGGGAGGAAGGGCAGUAAGUUAAUACCUUGCUGUUUUGACGUUACCGACAGAAUAAGCACCGGCUAACUUCGUGCCAGCAGCCGCCGUAA
Molecule: ribosomal RNA, 500 nt
Filed under: uncultured bacterium
Lineage: Bacteria
Description: partial 16S ribosomal RNA
Rfam family: Bacterial small subunit ribosomal RNA
Source: RNAcentral